GUGAACAUUCAACAAUAAAUGUUGAAGUUACCAGGCAGUAAAUAAGACAGAAAUCGAAGUUUUAAGUCAGACGUUUGUAGAUCUAAAUGCGUUUUUUUUCUGCUCUUCCCCUAUCCUAGAGUCUCGUAUUUGACUUUUAAAGCGUACCGUUUGUCCUUCCACAGCCACCGUAGCACAGCUUCGCGAUAAGCGGGCUUUUAAAACAGCGCGAAAGUCGAGCCGCGAGCCAAACCGCAGACGCGAGGAGAAGGAUGUCAAAAAUAAAUUUUCGUUGACGCCUAAAGCCGAACAAGAAGGCCUACUGCGAUCAAAUCUUCCAAGAUUUCCAGAGGUCAGAUUUUUGUUUAUGUUUGUGAACGCUUUAAAAGUUGCAGUUGUAUUUUAUUGUGACGAUUCAGGAGGACGGCGAUGAGGACCUAAAUGUACUUCUUUAAUAUUAUUGUAGCUGCGUUUCUUCAAGGUUUAUAAAAUUGUCCAAAUAAUGAGAUGGAAUUUUCUAAUACAAAAAAGGCUAAUUUUUAUGUUAUUGUUGGGUUUGAUAACAAUUCUUUAC
Polypterus senegalus (gray bichir) is the source of this 553-nucleotide long non-coding RNA. RefSeq lists it as uncharacterized. Lineage: Eukaryota; Metazoa; Chordata; Cladistia; Polypteriformes; Polypteridae. The transcript has 3 exons. The record is from RefSeq and is a predicted model, not a curated record.